This 361-nucleotide ribosomal RNA is filed under the name Salmonella enterica. Its description in RNAcentral is "partial 23S ribosomal RNA". It matches the Rfam family "Bacterial large subunit ribosomal RNA", at positions 161 to 560 of the family's 2925-position model. Lineage: Bacteria; Pseudomonadati; Pseudomonadota; Gammaproteobacteria; Enterobacterales; Enterobacteriaceae. The record is from RNAcentral. RNAcentral also lists the same sequence under 3 other names.
AAUCCAUAGGUUAAUGAGGCGAACCGGGGGAACUGAAACAUCUAAGUACCCCGAGGAAAAGAAAUCAACCGAGAUUCCCCCAGUAGCGGCGAGCGAACGGGGAGGAGCCCAGAGCCUGAAUCAGCAUGUGUGUUAGUGGAAGCGUCUGGAAAGGCGCGCGAUACAGGGUGACAGCCCCGUACACAAAAGCGCAUGUGCUGUGAGCUCGAUGAGUAGGGCGGGACACGUGGUAUCCUGUCUGAAUAUGGGGGGACCAUCCUCCAAGGCUAAAUACUCCUGACUGACCGAUAGUGAACCAGUACCGUGAGGGAAAGGCGAAAAGAACCCCGGCGAGGGGAGUGAAACAGAACCUGAAACCGUG